RNAcentral lists this ribosomal RNA (392 nucleotides) under uncultured bacterium. RNAcentral's name for it is "partial 16S ribosomal RNA". It matches the Rfam family "Bacterial small subunit ribosomal RNA", at positions 523 to 918 of the family's 1533-position model. The record is from RNAcentral.
ACACGUAGGGGGCGAGCGUUGUUCGGAAUCAUUGGGCGUAAAGGGCGCGCAGGCGGCGAGGCAAGUCCGGUGUGAAAGUGCUCGGCUCAACCGAGUGAUGCGCUGGAAACUGCCCUGCUUGAGUACAGGAGGGGACGUCGGAAUUCCAGGUGUAGGGGUGAAAUCUGGAGAUAUCUGGAAGAACACCGGUGGCGAAGGCGGACGUCUGGCAAUGUACUGACGCUGAGGCGCGAAGGUGCGGGGAGCGAACAGGUUUAGAUACCCUGGUAGUCCGCACAGUAAACGAUGUGCACCAGGUGGCGGGGGGUAGCCCUCGGUACCGAAGCCAACGCAUUAAGUGCACCGCCUGGGGAGUAUGCUCGCAAGGGUGAAACUCAAAUGAAUUGACGGGG